Molecule: non-coding RNA, 125 nt
Organism: Triticum aestivum (bread wheat)
Lineage: Eukaryota; Viridiplantae; Streptophyta; Magnoliopsida; Poales; Poaceae
Source: Rfam
AUACUACUCCCUCCGUUCGGAAUUACUUGUGACAAAAAUGGAUAGAAAUGGAUGUAUCUACAACUAAAAUACAUCCAGAUACAUUCAUUUCUUGAACGAGUAAUUCUGAAUGGAGGGAGUACAUA